Molecule: transfer RNA, 72 nt
Filed under: Pangasius djambal
Lineage: Eukaryota; Metazoa; Chordata; Actinopteri; Siluriformes; Pangasiidae
Description: tRNA-Lys
Source: RNAcentral
CCCUGGAGGACUAGUGGUUAGGCCACAGCACCCUUACCGCUGCGGCCCAGGUUCGAUUCCCGGCCACUGGGG